UGUUAGAAGCUGUGAUGGUUGUGUAAAUG
RNAcentral lists this non-coding RNA (29 nucleotides) under Homo sapiens (human). The record is from RNAcentral. Lineage: Eukaryota; Metazoa; Chordata; Mammalia; Primates; Hominidae.